This is a long non-coding RNA of Onychostoma macrolepis, 296 nucleotides long. RefSeq lists it as uncharacterized. The record is from RefSeq and is a predicted model, not a curated record. The transcript is spliced from 3 exons. NCBI's taxonomy places the organism in Eukaryota, Metazoa, Chordata, Actinopteri, Cypriniformes, Cyprinidae.
CUGAAACAGCCACUGUAACCCCUAAUCACAACCCCGAAGGCUGGACAUCAAAUGCUGCAACGUUGAAAACAGAUGAUCAGAGACUGGGGCCAUCAGAGCAGACAGCUGAGAGGCAGGAAGACACGAUUUGGCACAGGAGUGAGACAAUGAGACUGUUAGACCGGCACGCCCUCAGUGUAAAACACCUACCUGUUGGGACGCCCUCCUGCUUGGGGCAGAUUCCUCUGGCGGGCGUCAGUCGUUUUUCCUCCUCCUCUCCUGGCGUGACCUGGAUCCCAACCUCCACCGGUCCAGAC